RNAcentral lists this ribosomal RNA (334 nucleotides) under uncultured Anaerolineaceae bacterium. Its description in RNAcentral is "bacterial SSU rRNA". It matches the Rfam family "Bacterial small subunit ribosomal RNA", at positions 1036 to 1382 of the family's 1533-position model. The record is from RNAcentral. Lineage: Bacteria; Bacillati; Chloroflexota; Anaerolineae; Anaerolineales; Anaerolineaceae.
AGGUGUUGCAUGGCUGUCGUCAGCUCGUGUCGUGAGAUGUUCGGUUAAGUCCGCUAACGAGCGCAACCCUCGUCGUAUGUUAUAUGUGUCAUACGAGACUGCCGGUAAAAGCCGGAGGAAGGUGAGGAUGAUGUCAAGUCAGCAUGACCUUUAUAUCCAGGGCUACACACACGCUACAAUGGUCUGUACAAUGGGUAGCCAAGCCGCGAGGCGGAGCCAAUCCUGAAAAGCAGGCCUCAGUUCAGAUUGCAGUCUGCAACUCGACUGCAUGAAGCCGGAGUUGCUAGUAACCGCAGGUCAGCAAUACUGCGGUGAAUACCGGUUCCCGGGUCUU